Molecule: long non-coding RNA, 159 nt
Organism: Coregonus clupeaformis (lake whitefish)
Lineage: Eukaryota; Metazoa; Chordata; Actinopteri; Salmoniformes; Salmonidae
Exons: 3
Source: RefSeq, a predicted model, not a curated record
GUCUUAGUUACAUGGAAGAUGUGGAGAAAGCAUAAGGACAAUAAGGCCAUGGACCAGACAACAAACACCUCAGUGCAGGACCCAUUUCCUGCCAAUGGUGAUGAUGUGACUUACAGCACUGUUGUCCCCAAGAGGAGGAACCAGUUAAAUGUACAGACC